UACGUAGGGUGCGAGCGUUGUCCGGAAUUACUGGGCGUAAAGAGCUCGUAGGCGGUUUGUCGCGUCGUCUGUGAAAACCAGCAGCUCAACUGCUGGCUUGCAGGCGAUACGGGCAGACUUGAGUACUGCAGGGGAGACUGGAAUUCCUGGUGUAGCGGUGAAAUGCGCAGAUAUCAGGAGGAACACCGGUGGCGAAGGCGGGUCUCUGGGCAGUAACUGACACUGAGGAGCGAAAGCGUGGGUAGCGAACAGG
RNAcentral lists this ribosomal RNA (253 nucleotides) under uncultured bacterium. RNAcentral describes it as "partial 16S ribosomal RNA". It matches the Rfam family "Bacterial small subunit ribosomal RNA", at positions 524 to 776 of the family's 1533-position model. The record is from RNAcentral.